This 161-nucleotide non-coding RNA is filed under the name Alicyclobacillus acidocaldarius. Its description in RNAcentral is "GlcN6P sequence". It matches the Rfam family "glmS glucosamine-6-phosphate activated ribozyme aptamer". Rfam says of the family: This entry contains a glucosamine-6-phosphate activated ribozyme that is found in the mRNA for GlmS. GlmS is an enzyme that uses fructose-6-phosphate and glutamine to generate glucosamine-6-phosphate. The record is from RNAcentral. Lineage: Bacteria; Bacillati; Bacillota; Bacilli; Caryophanales; Alicyclobacillaceae.
AGCGCAUGGGAAGCGCCCGGACUCGGCGGCGGCCGAGUUGACGCGGAGGAGGUUGGCGAAAGAUUCGGCGGAUGCCUCCCGGCGCCAAUCCGAUCGCGCCGCAAGCGAAGCCUGAAAUCCACCGGGCGACCGGUGGGACAGAGGCGAGCAGAUCGGAUGAA